AAAGUCGUAACAAGGUUUCCGUAGGUGAACCUGCGGAAGGAUCAUUAAUAAAUGAGCGCAAGCUUUUCUAUUAUCUUUCUACACCUGUGAACUAUUUGCCUUUGGGCACUCUUACAAACAUAAUGUAAUGAAUGUAAUCUACUAUAAACAAAUAUAACUUUCAACAACGGAUCUCUUGGCUCUC
RNAcentral lists this unclassified non-coding RNA (184 nucleotides) under Basidiomycota sp. Its description in RNAcentral is "partial contains small subunit ribosomal RNA, internal transcribed spacer 1, and 5.8S ribosomal RNA". The stretch from base 1 to 47 matches the Rfam family "Eukaryotic small subunit ribosomal RNA", at positions 1785 to 1831 of the family's 1831-position model. The record is from RNAcentral. Lineage: Eukaryota; Fungi; Basidiomycota.